CCUACGGAGUGCAGCAGUGGGGAAUAUUGGACAAUGGGCGAAAGCCUGAUCCAGCCAUGCCGCGUGUGUGAAGAAGGCCUUCGGGUUGUAAAGCACUUUCAGUGGGGAAGAAAGCCUUGGGGCUAAUACCCUCGAGGAAGGACAUCACCCACAGAAGAAGCACCGGCUAACUCCGUGCCAGCAGCCGCGGUAAUACGGAGGGUGCGAGCGUUAAUCGGAAUUACUGGGCGUAAAGCGCGCGUAGGCGGUCUGAUAAGCCGGUUGUGAAAGCCCCGGGCUCAACCUGGGAACGGCAUCCGGAACUGUCAGGCUAGAGUGCAGGAGAGGAAGGUAGAAUUCCCGGUGUAGCGGUGAAAUGCGUAGAGAUCGGGAGGAAUACCAGUGGCGAAGGCGGCCUUCUGGACUGACACCGACGCUGAGGUGCGAAAGCGUGGGUAGCAAACAGGAUUAGAUACCCCUGUAGUC
RNAcentral lists this ribosomal RNA (465 nucleotides) under Vreelandella stevensii. RNAcentral describes it as "partial 16S ribosomal RNA". It matches the Rfam family "Bacterial small subunit ribosomal RNA", at positions 338 to 795 of the family's 1533-position model. The record is from RNAcentral. Lineage: Bacteria; Pseudomonadati; Pseudomonadota; Gammaproteobacteria; Oceanospirillales; Halomonadaceae.